This 253-nucleotide ribosomal RNA is filed under the name uncultured bacterium. RNAcentral describes it as "partial 16S ribosomal RNA". It matches the Rfam family "Bacterial small subunit ribosomal RNA", at positions 524 to 776 of the family's 1533-position model. The record is from RNAcentral.
GACGGGGGGGGCAAGUGUUCUUCGGAAUGACUGGGCGUAAAGGGCACGUAGGUGGCCAACUAAGUCAGACGUGAAAUCCCUCGGCUUAACCGGGGAACUGCGUCUGAUACUGGAUGGCUUGAGUUUGGGAGAGGGAUGCGGAAUUCCAGGUGUAGCGGUGAAAUGCGUAGAUAUCUGGAGGAACACCGGUGGCGAAGGCGGCAUCCUGGACCAACACUGACACUGAGGAGCGAAAGCCAGGGGAGCAAACGGG